This 748-nucleotide ribosomal RNA is filed under the name Bacillus thuringiensis. RNAcentral describes it as "bacterial LSU rRNA". It matches the Rfam family "Bacterial large subunit ribosomal RNA", at positions 2182 to 2925 of the family's 2925-position model. Lineage: Bacteria; Bacillati; Bacillota; Bacilli; Caryophanales; Bacillaceae. RNAcentral also lists the same sequence under 2 other names. The record is from RNAcentral.
GGAGGCGCUGGUGGGAUACCGCCCUGACUGUAUUGAAAUUCUAACCUACGGGUCUUAUCGACCCGGGAGACAGUGUCAGGUGGGCAGUUUGACUGGGGCGGUCGCCUCCUAAAGUGUAACGGAGGCGCCCAAAGGUUCCCUCAGAAUGGUUGGAAAUCAUUCGUAGAGUGCAAAGGCAUAAGGGAGCUUGACUGCGAGACCUACAAGUCGAGCAGGGACGAAAGUCGGGCUUAGUGAUCCGGUGGUUCCGCAUGGAAGGGCCAUCGCUCAACGGAUAAAAGCUACCCCGGGGAUAACAGGCUUAUCUCCCCCAAGAGUCCACAUCGACGGGGAGGUUUGGCACCUCGAUGUCGGCUCAUCGCAUCCUGGGGCUGUAGUCGGUCCCAAGGGUUGGGCUGUUCGCCCAUUAAAGCGGUACGCGAGCUGGGUUCAGAACGUCGUGAGACAGUUCGGUCCCUAUCCGUCGUGGGCGUAGGAAAUUUGAGAGGAGCUGUCCUUAGUACGAGAGGACCGGGAUGGACGCACCGCUGGUGUACCAGUUGUUCUGCCAAGGGCAUAGCUGGGUAGCUAUGUGCGGAAGGGAUAAGUGCUGAAAGCAUCUAAGCAUGAAGCCCCCCUCAAGAUGAGAUUUCCCAUAGCGUAAGCUAGUAAGAUCCCUGAAAGAUGAUCAGGUUGAUAGGUUCGAGGUGGAAGCAUGGUGACAUGUGGAGCUGACGAAUACUAAUAGAUCGAGGACUUAACCAUAUAA